UUCUGGCUCAGGAUGGACGCUGGCGGCGUGCCUAACACAUGCAAGUCGAGCGAUUACUUCGGUAAAGAGCGGCGGACGGGUGAGUAACGCGUGGGUAACCUGCCUCAUACACAUGGAUAACAUACCGAAAGGUAUGCUAAUACAGGAUAAUAUAAGAGAUUCACAUGGAUUUCUUAUCAAAGCUCCGGCGGUAUGAGAUGGACCCGCGUCUGAUUAGCUAGUUGGUAAGGUAAUGGCUUACCAAGGCGACGAUCAGUAGCCGACCUGAGAGGGUGAUCGGCCACAUUGGAACUGAGACACGGUCCAAACUCCUACGGGAGGCAGCAGUGGGGAAUAUUGCACAAUGGGCGAAAGCCUGAUGCAGCAACGCCGCGUGAGUGAUGAAGGCCUUCGGGUCGUAAAACUCUGUCCUCAAGGAAGAUAAUGACGGUACUUGAGGAGGAAGCCCCGGCUAACUACGUGCCAGCCGCUGC
This 473-nucleotide ribosomal RNA is filed under the name uncultured bacterium. RNAcentral describes it as "bacterial SSU rRNA". It matches the Rfam family "Bacterial small subunit ribosomal RNA", at positions 17 to 518 of the family's 1533-position model. The record is from RNAcentral.